This 454-nucleotide ribosomal RNA is filed under the name uncultured Clostridium sp. Its description in RNAcentral is "bacterial SSU rRNA". It matches the Rfam family "Bacterial small subunit ribosomal RNA", at positions 923 to 1382 of the family's 1533-position model. Lineage: Bacteria; Bacillati; Bacillota; Clostridia; Eubacteriales; Clostridiaceae. The record is from RNAcentral.
GCACAAGCAGCGAGCAUGUGGUUAAUUCGAAGCAACGCGAAGAACCUUACCUAGACUUGACAUCUCCUGAAUUACCCGUAACUGGGGAAGCUCUUCGGAGCAGGAAGACAGGUGGUGCAUGGUUGUCGUCAGCUCGUGUCGUGAGAUGUUGGGUUAAGUCCCGCAACGAGCGCAACCCUUAUCGUUAGUUGCUACCAUUAGGUUGAGCACUCUAGCGAGACUGCCCGGGUUAACCGGGAGGAAGGUGGGGAUGACGUCAAAUCAUCAUGCCCCUUAUGUCUAGGGCUACACACGUGCUACAAUGGUGAGGACAAAGAGACGCAAGACCGCGAGGUGGAGCAAAUCGCAGAAAAUCGCUCUCAGUUCGGAUUGGAGUCUGAAACCCGACUCCAUGAAGGUGGAAUCGCUAGUAAUCGCGCAUCAGCAUGGCGCGGUGAAUACGUUCCCGGGCCUU